Molecule: long non-coding RNA, 552 nt
Filed under: Brachypodium distachyon (stiff brome)
Lineage: Eukaryota; Viridiplantae; Streptophyta; Magnoliopsida; Poales; Poaceae
Description: long non-coding RNA (BDIS_LNC005294)
Source: RNAcentral
UUAUUCGCAUUUAAUGGUUUAAUCUUGAUUAACUCAAGCUUGUACUUGAUGAAAAAAAAAAGAAAAACUCAAGCUUGUACUGUGUGGUUAUAGCAUGUUUAUGGAGAUGAGACAGCGGCCAGAAUGUUUGUUUGAGAUAAUUCGUGAGCUUAAAAUAUUUUCAGUCAAUAAGUAAAAAUUUCGGGACUUGAGCCAAACAGAGGUUCGCAUGGGCCGAAACUUAGAACCAUCUGGACGAGCCGAAGAAUCAUCCAUAGAAUAUUUUAUAAACAGAAAAAUUGGUAACUGCAGGUUUGGUUUGGACCCCAAACCAAAAUAAAAUGUUGCGAAUUAGUUGGACCAACAGUCCAACAGUGGGCUGUUGGUGAACAGGGCCAACAGACCAUUACAGAUCGAAAUUACAGUGGGGAUACUGGAUGGGCUCCGUUAAAAUUUGGUAGUGGUGCUCGGGUUGGACAUUUCGGCUGUUGCUACGGCAUUUCCUCAACCAUCAGCGGCGGCAGUGUGCCAGUGCGUAAGAGGCCGUGACGGCAACCGGCAGCCUCACAUGAU